This 495-nucleotide ribosomal RNA is filed under the name uncultured Chitinophagaceae bacterium. RNAcentral's name for it is "bacterial SSU rRNA". It matches the Rfam family "Bacterial small subunit ribosomal RNA", at positions 395 to 890 of the family's 1533-position model. Lineage: Bacteria; Pseudomonadati; Bacteroidota; Chitinophagia; Chitinophagales; Chitinophagaceae. The record is from RNAcentral.
UGCCGCGUGGAGGAUUAAGGCCCUCUGGGUUGUAAACUCCUUUUAUCUGGGAAGAAAUCCAUAUUUUCUUAUGUGGUUGACGGUACCAGAUGAAUAAGCACCGGCUAACUCCGUGCCAGCAGCCGCGGUAAUACGGAGGGUGCAAGCGUUAUCCGGAUUCACUGGGUUUAAAGGGUGCGUAGGCGGGUAGGUAAGUCCGUGGUGAAAUCUCCGAGCUUAACUCGGAAACUGCCGUGGAUACUAUUUGUCUUGAAUAUUGUGGAGGUGAGCGGAAUAUGUCAUGUAGCGGUGAAAUGCUUAGAUAUGACAUAGAACACCAAUUGCGAAGGCAGCUCACUACACAAUCAUUGACGCUGAGGCACGAAAGCGUGGGGAUCAAACAGGAUUAGAUACCCUGGUAGUCCACGCCCUAAACGAUGAUUACUCGACAUCAGCGAUACACUGUUGGUGUCUGAGCGAAAGCAUUAAGUAAUCCACCUGGGAAGUACGAUCGCA